UGCCUGCGUGCGGGCAGCCUCUGCCUGCGU
RNAcentral lists this small RNA (30 nucleotides) under Bombyx mori (domestic silkworm). Its description in RNAcentral is "ovarian small RNA-8579". The record is from RNAcentral. Lineage: Eukaryota; Metazoa; Arthropoda; Insecta; Lepidoptera; Bombycidae.